Molecule: transfer RNA, 67 nt
Filed under: Heteralonia sp.
Lineage: Eukaryota; Metazoa; Arthropoda; Insecta; Diptera; Bombyliidae
Description: tRNA-Leu
Source: RNAcentral
UCUAAUAUGGCAGAUUAGUGCAAUGGAUUUAAGCUCCAUAUAUAAAGUAAUUUCACUUUUAUUAGAA